RNAcentral lists this ribosomal RNA (482 nucleotides) under uncultured bacterium. Its description in RNAcentral is "partial 16S ribosomal RNA". It matches the Rfam family "Bacterial small subunit ribosomal RNA", at positions 30 to 507 of the family's 1533-position model. The record is from RNAcentral.
AUUGAACGCUGGCGGCAUGCUUUACACAUGCAAGUCGAACGGUAACAGGCCGCAAGGUGCUGACGAGUGGCGAACGGGCGAGUAAUGCAUCGGAACGUGCCCAGUCGUGGGGGAUAACUACUCGAAAGAGUAGCUAAUACCGCAUACGAUCUAUGGAUGAAAGCGGGGGACCGUAAGGCCUCGCGCGAUUGGAGCGGCCGAUGUCAGAUUAGGUAGUUGGUGGGGUAAAGGCUCACCAAGCCAACGAUCUGUAGCUGGUCUGAGAGGACGACCAGCCACACUGGGACUGAGACACGGCCCAGACUCCUACGGGAGGCAGCAGUGGGGAAUUUUGGACAAUGGGCGCAAGCCUGAUCCAGCAAUGCCGCGUGCAGGAAGAAGGCCUUCGGGUUGUAAACUGCCUUUGUACGGAACGAAACGGCUCUGGUUAAUACCCGGGGCUAAUGACGGUACCGUAAGAAUAAGCACCGGCUAACUACGUG